UACGUAGGGGGCAAGCGUUGUCCGGAAUCAUUGGGCGUAAAGAGCGUGUAGGCGGCCAGAAAAGUCCGCUGUGAAAACUCGAGGCUCAACUUCGAGCUGUCGGUGGAAACUUUCUGGCUAGAGUCCGGAAGAGGAGAAUGGAAUUCCUGGUGUAGCGGUGAAAUGCGCAGAUAUCAGGAAGAACACCCGUGGCGAAGGCGGUUCUCUGGGACGGUACUGACGCUGAGACACGAAAGCGUGGGUAGCAAACAGG
Molecule: ribosomal RNA, 253 nt
Filed under: uncultured bacterium
Lineage: Bacteria
Description: partial 16S ribosomal RNA
Rfam family: Bacterial small subunit ribosomal RNA
Source: RNAcentral